AAGGCGAAACCCGAAAAGCCUCCGCGUCGGCGGGCCGAAAAGAGAGUAGGGA
Runella slithyformis DSM 19594 is the source of this 52-nucleotide non-coding RNA. The record is from Rfam. NCBI's taxonomy places the organism in Bacteria, Pseudomonadati, Bacteroidota, Cytophagia, Cytophagales, Spirosomataceae.